GUGAUUAGAUUUGAUUGACCUAAGAGUGUGAAAAAGUGACCGGACAAGACUUAUUAGUCUGUUAUAAAAAAAAUACCGGCCCAACUACAAAGUUUUAUCGAUUAAAUGAACCAAACACAAACGCUAGUUACCUGGUGUUCAGAACUAGCUUGUAAAAUAGAGUGACGUUAGCUCAUAGCUCGUUAGCCAAGUUAGCUUGCCGUGAUGGUGGAAUACAAAGCAGAAGCCAAGCAAAAUAACCACUAAAGGACCGAGUUACUUCAUGGAGCUACAACAUCUUUGCUGUUGUCCUUCCAGUCCAGUAUGCCGUUCAAGUGGACUCUCAGGUACUUGUACCGCCCCACUACUGCCACCUCCUGGCCAAGGAUUAUGAUGGGCUCCACAGGGAUCAUUUUCUUCUUGAAGUAGAUGACCAGCUCCAUGGUCUUGUCCACAUUAAGGAGCAGAUGGUUCGCCUGAGAUUAACCAUUCAAAUGCCGGCACCAUUUCAAAGAUUUGUAUCUCUCCGUUCCAAAUUGGAUCUCUGGAGAGAUGACGUCUGGCUGUUUUAAAGUCAGCUGGAGACGACAGCAAAGACGCGACACAUCGACCCCAUCAAAAUGAUAAUUCUCUCUCUUCAUGUUCAUGUGAUUGAGGCAAGGUUGAGUCAACAAGCGGCUUGUCUGGUUACCCUGGAUGGGACGUGCUGGUGAAUGGCUAAUAGGGGACAGAAGGAGGGGAAGCUGGCGACACGCGUGCAAGCUUGCUGAGGUCAAUAUUGGAUGGAUUAUCUCUCUUGUCGGCCAUGUCAAGCAACUUCCAUGUGGCCCUUGUUAAGCACACAUACGGACUGAUGUUGCCCGUCACGUUAGCGUGCUUCUCAUUACACUGUUAAAACAAAAAACAUACACUAUAUUGCCAAAAGUAUUUGGCCACCUGCCUUUACUCACAUAUGAACUUGAAGUGCCAUCCCAUGGAAUUGUCCAAAAUGUUUUGGUAUCCUGGAGCAUUCGAAGUUCCUUUCACUGGAACUAAGGGGGCCAAGCCCAAUUCCUGAAAAACAACCCCACACCAUAAUUCCUCCUCCACCAAAUUUCACGCUCGGCACAAUGCAGUCCGAAAUGUAGCGUUCUCCUGGCAACCUCCAAACCCAGACUCGUCCAUCAGA
This is a long non-coding RNA of Entelurus aequoreus (snake pipefish), 1147 nucleotides long. RefSeq lists it as uncharacterized. Lineage: Eukaryota; Metazoa; Chordata; Actinopteri; Syngnathiformes; Syngnathidae. The record is from RefSeq and is a predicted model, not a curated record. The transcript has 3 exons.